Long non-coding RNA from Pantherophis guttatus, 2490 nucleotides. RefSeq lists it as uncharacterized. The record is from RefSeq and is a predicted model, not a curated record. Lineage: Eukaryota; Metazoa; Chordata; Lepidosauria; Squamata; Colubridae.
UUAAGCCUCUUAUCCUAGAAGAGAGAAGAGGUAGCUUGGCAACCUAUCGUGCAUGUUAAUACAUAAUCAUCCAAACUAAGCUUUGCUUUUUUUUUUUAACUGUUGCUUUAACUUGAGAUGAAUGUAAGUGAAAAUUCAAAGGACAAAAUAUUUGCUGCCUGAGAUGAAGAGCAGAAAAUGAAUGCCUGUCCUGGGACUGUUGAGGAAACUCUGCUAUUUGAAAGAAUUGAAAAUAAAGGGGAAGUGCCUAGCUCUUAUCAGAAUGUGAUUGACCAGAGAAUCGCACUCAAGAACUGUCUCUAUCUGAUCUAAGAACACCUAGACAAGAUGCUGUCUUACACUGAUUUCAGCCUGGUCAGGCAAAAAAAUCUAGGAUGCCCUGGAUGUAUAAAUAGGUAUAUGAAACAAAAGAAGGUUGGAAAAUAUUGCUUCUUCUUGACCAAGAGCAAGAAUUGCUUCUAAUUAGCACUAAUAAUCAGGCUGGGCAAACACAACAAAAUUAUAUCCUGUUUUCAUUUGUAAAAAUGCUACUUCUCCAUACUAGUCUAAUAUUUUGUAGUGGAAUAGUGAAAUAUUAAACUUCUAUUAAUUUCAUUUCAUUAUUUCAUUAUUUUAUUUUAAUUUAUGUUUUGCUAUAAACGAAUACUCUAGGCUUCAGCUGACUAACUAAAAAUUUAUCUUAAUGGAACUGAAGCCCAAUACCAAGCUUUUACGAACUUAUACAAUCACAUAAAAUAACAUAGACAGAGGGAUAGUAAUAUAAAAGCAGAACUGUAUGAGCUAAAGCAAUCAUCCUGGAAUUAGCAGUAAUGAAAAGCAUGAUCAAGACCUCAGGUAUUAAAAUAACAGCAUCUUAAAAGACCCAGGAGACUGAAAAGAAGAAAUGAAAUCUCACAUGAUGGUGCCAUUAUAACAAUAUGGAUACCAACCAUUACUGAGGCAAGCAUUUUCAAGAAUACUGAUUGCUCUUUAGAGCCUGAAAGAAUGCAGCAGUAGAGCUGGCUUUCCAUCACAUACUGAUGUUAUCCUUCCGUGAAGCUGUCAGUGACCUCCUCAAAUGGCUUCAGGGGUGGAAAAUAAGGCAAAAUACACAAAAGGAUCCAAAAGAGAGAGAGAGAGAAAAAAAAUGAGUGUGUGAGCAAGGGGGGAGAAUCCCCACCCGAUGAAUACUAUAUAAUAUGGUAGUCCUCUGAGUUUGAAGAAAACACUGUUGUGCAGUUCUUUGGUAAACACAGAGGGGUCUCUGAAGCAAGUACAGAGUCUAGACAGUGGGGGCACUGGAAGUCCAUUAUUGUAAUGGAUGCUAUUCUAUGACACUGCUCAUGUUUUGAGGGGCACUUGUCUUCAAAGUCUGUGGAGGCUUCUUAGCAGAGAGUUCUCCAGAAGGUUCUUUCAGCAGCUCCAGCUUCUAGUUCCCUUGGCUAGAUGUUACACUGGUAUAGGAUUUCUUUCACAGUGUCUUUGUAGCGCUGAUGUGGUCAAUUUUGAGGCUUUUCCCCAGGCUUCAGUACACUAUAGAGCAACUGGUGAAUCAGCCAUUCUGAUGAAAUUUCUGGGCUCUGAAAACCAGAGACUCAAUGCUGGUGGACUCUGCACUAUCCAAGAUCGCCAAGCUAGAGACAUGGUCUUAGCCAAGGAAUGCCAAAGAUGGAAUGGGGUGUGCACAUUUGAAAUUUUUCCAGUUGUUUGAUGAGCAGAGUCAAGACUACAUCCUUACAGGAGAUAGCUGUAUAGCUCUGUAGACGUUAGCUUUAUGGAGAUAUGGAUGUUGUGUUGAUUGAACAAUCUGGUAUGCAGCUGCCCCUGUGCAUGGUUGGCUUUGCUGAUCCUGGAAUCAAUUUCUUUCCAAAGACCCAUCACUUGAGAUGCUUCCCAAGUAUUUGAAGCUGUUCACAUUUGUCAGUUGGAUGCCAUCAACAGUGAUUUUUUUGUUCUAAAGACUUCGUAUUUUCUAUGAACUGGUAAAAUACUUCAGUUUUGUUGAGGCUGAUAUAUGAAAAUACAUUCUGUGUUAAAUAAACAUGAAAAUAAUAUUUUGUUUAAUCAAUAAUUUAAGGUCAUAAGAAUUAAUAUUUUUAAGCUCUUUUAUUGUUGAUCCAUUAAUGUGGGAUAUUCUCACUUCUAAUUUCAGAAUUCUUGCGAAUAUCUAAUAUUCAGUUUAUUGCUCCUAUUUAAUUUAUUUUUGAGAGUCUCUGGUUUGUAGUGAAGUACAAAUGUAAUAAAUACAUAUAUGUUUACUUUACAGCUGUACACUUAGACUCAUCUAGAGUACUAUACAGUAUGUUCUCAUACGGUAAUUUGAAAGUUGCUGACAUUGCUAAAUCAUCUGGACUAAUUUCUGAAAUCAGGAAUUGUUAUACAAAAUCAUAUUUUUCUAAAUGUAGCUUGCCACUUUUAAUGGAGGAAAUAUAAUAAAGCUGUGCUAAAAACAGAAGCCAAUUUCUGCCAUGAUUAUAAAAGAAUCAUAUAAUAAAUCUUUUUUUUAACUUG